RNAcentral lists this ribosomal RNA (253 nucleotides) under uncultured bacterium. Its description in RNAcentral is "partial 16S ribosomal RNA". It matches the Rfam family "Bacterial small subunit ribosomal RNA", at positions 524 to 776 of the family's 1533-position model. The record is from RNAcentral.
UACGUAGGGGGCUAGCGUUGUCCGGAAUCAUUGGGCGUAAAGCGCGUGUAGGCGGUCCGGUAAGUCCGCUGUGAAAGUCGAGGGCUCAACCCUCGAAUGCCGGUGGAUACUGUCGGGCUUGAGUACGGGAGAGGCGAGUGGAAUUCCUGGUGUAGCGGUGAAAUGCGCAGAUAUCAGGAGGAACACCGAUUGCGAAGGCAGCUCGCUGGAACGUUACUGACGCUGAGACGCGGAAGCGUGGGGAGCAAACAGG